RNAcentral lists this long non-coding RNA (441 nucleotides) under Olea europaea subsp. europaea. The record is from RNAcentral. Lineage: Eukaryota; Viridiplantae; Streptophyta; Magnoliopsida; Lamiales; Oleaceae.
CAAAAGAGAAAAUGAAUGUUUUGGGCCAAAUCCCCAAUCUAGUCCUAAAACCUCGUCCAAAUCUAAUCCGUCUCCUUACCAUUAUCUGUUCUUACCGCUGGCUGUAAAUCCAAUUUUCAAAUCCAAUUUUCCUCAAUCUCCAAGUCCAACCCAUAAAUGAAAAUUCCAUUGCUAAUCGUUUCCCUUCUUCGUUUGUCUCUUCUCCAUUGUUCCAAGGUCAAGGUAUUAAGUUUAUUUUAUUUUUAAUAUCUCCAAAAAUCUUGUUCAGAUUUUCAAUUUGGUCCCCAGCCCUCCGUUCAUUCAAUAAUCUCUUGUUUUUCUUUAAAAUUUCAGGGUGUGGUGCUGAUGAUGUUUUGUAUAAAGAGCUAUGGAAGGCUUGUGCAGGUCCAUUGGUGGAUGUUUCAAAGAAUGGAGAGAGUUUAUUAUUUUCCUCAAUGUCAC